GGCAGGAAUUUCGGGCCCAUGUAAAUGAAAUCAUUGGCUAACAUGGUCUUCGAGCACAAUUUUUACUUUUAUUUUGAACCACAGCACAACAACGAUACAUUGUCGCGACGAUACUGCCCACUGCUUAUAUGAUGUCCUGUGUCAAGGUAGGAGAAACUGUGAAGAACGACGAGACUAAAAGCGAAGAAACUUAUUUCAAGGGAUCAAGACUCGACUGACGACCUGUCACCGAGAAAGGAGAUAACCAAAGAUGACGAAGAUAGGCAUACAACACGAGGUUGUUGCUAUAACAACACGAGGUUGUUGCUAUAACAACACGAGGUUGUUUUUAUAACAACACUCGCUUAUUUAGCUUUCAAGUAAGCUAUAGACGGAACCCACUCCCUCACCCCAUCCUCAGAAGACAAAGAGCAAGCCAUACUUUGGGCAGCGCUGAGGGGGACUGCCAGUUAGUCCUGGCCGAUGACUAUUCCUUUGGGCAUGGCCUGAUACAGUAGCAGCGACGGCGAAAGGUGCCCCGGCAAUCUCCCCGGAAGAAACCCUGCCUCCUGCAGAAUGUUGAGCACAUCCAAUUGGCAAAGCAGAACUUGUUGGUCGGCCGGCUACAGACCCUCCGGGCCGCUUCCACAGUCUCCGAUAACUCUCGAGCGGAACCUACGUCCAGAGAAAAAAUUAGUAUG
Molecule: long non-coding RNA, 680 nt
Filed under: Spirodela polyrhiza (greater duckweed)
Lineage: Eukaryota; Viridiplantae; Streptophyta; Magnoliopsida; Alismatales; Araceae
Description: long non-coding RNA (SPOL_LNC000946)
Source: RNAcentral